GUAGGUGGCAAGCGUUGUCCGGAAUUAUUGGGCGUAAAGCGCGCGCAGGCGGUUCUUUAAGUCUGAUGUGAAAGCCCACGGGCUCAACCGUGGAGGGUCAUUGGAAACUGGAGAACUUGAGUACAGAAGAGGAAAGCGGAAUUCCACGUGUAGCGGUGAAAUGCGUAGAGAUGUGGAGGAACACCAGUGGCGAAGGCGGCUUUCUGGUCUGUAACUGACGCUGAGGCGCGAAAGCGUGGGGAGCAAACAGGAUUAGAUACCCUGGUAGUCCACGCCGUAAACGAUGAGUGCUAAGUGUUAGGGGGUUUCCGCCCCUUAGUGCUGCAGCUAACGCAUUUAGCACUCCGCCUGGGGAGUACGGCCGCAAGGCUG
RNAcentral lists this ribosomal RNA (372 nucleotides) under uncultured organism. RNAcentral describes it as "partial 16S ribosomal RNA". It matches the Rfam family "Bacterial small subunit ribosomal RNA", at positions 527 to 896 of the family's 1533-position model. The record is from RNAcentral.